Molecule: non-coding RNA, 455 nt
Organism: Agelaius phoeniceus (red-winged blackbird)
Lineage: Eukaryota; Metazoa; Chordata; Aves; Passeriformes; Icteridae
Source: RefSeq, a predicted model, not a curated record
GUGCUGUUGCUGCCCUAGGUACGCCAAGGAACAGAGGAGGGCAGGUAUCUUCUGGCCAGCCUCCGGAGUCAAAUCAAGAUUUGAGGUACCCUGAGGAGGCUCUUACCCAAAGCUUAGAAACGGCAACACCGAAGCACACGCGGAGAACAUCUCAACGUCCACGUGCGACCGAGGAUGGAUUUUGUCCGCUCCUCUUCCAAAAGCUAAGUGUCGGGGCCAGUGGUUUGGAGAAGGGGAAAAACCUUUACUAUCACAGGGGGCAAUUUCAUGUCAGCUUAGCGGAGAGGUCUGUAUCGGGACAGGCUCUCUGGAAGUAAAGGGAGAGGGUUUCUCCUCAGCCUCACCAGAGCCUUUGCCGGGCAGGGCAGUUCCAACCCAUCUCCACGUUCUCGGGAACUUUGCGUUGUCCGCCUUCCUCGGCCCGACGUCGUCACGGAUCUUUUCCCCGAGGAGCU